ACGGAAGGCAGCAGUAGGGAAUAUUGCACAAUGGGGGAAACCCUGAUGCAGCGACGCCGCGUGAAGGAUGAAGUAUUUCGGUAUGUAAACUUCUAUCAGCAAGGAAGAAAAUGACGGUACUUGACUAAGAAGCCCCGGCUAAAUACGUGCCAGCAGCCGCGGUAAUACGUAUGGGGCAAGCGUUAUCCGGAUUUACUGGGUGUAAAGGGAGUGUAGGCGGUACGGCAAGUCAGAAGUGAAAGCUCGGGGCUCAACCUCGGAAUUGCUUUUGAAACUGUCGAACUAGAGUGUCGGAGGGGUAAGCGGAAUUCCUAGUGUAGCGGUGAAAUGCGUAGAUAUUAGGAGGAACACCAGUGGCGAAGGCGGCUUACUGGACGACUACUGACGCUGAGGCUCGAAAGCGUGGGGAGCAAACAGGAUUAGAUACCCUGGUA
RNAcentral lists this ribosomal RNA (434 nucleotides) under uncultured Anaerostipes sp. RNAcentral describes it as "partial 16S ribosomal RNA". It matches the Rfam family "Bacterial small subunit ribosomal RNA", at positions 341 to 792 of the family's 1533-position model. Lineage: Bacteria; Bacillati; Bacillota; Clostridia; Lachnospirales; Lachnospiraceae. The record is from RNAcentral.